GGGCCCGCACAAGCGGUGGAGCAUGUGGUUUAAUUCGAUGCAACGCGAAGAACCUUACCAAGGCUUGACAUACUACAGAUUUCUUUGAAAAAAGGAAAGUGCCUUCGGGAACCGAGUGACAGGUGCUGCAUGGCUGUCGUCAGCUCGUGUCGUGAGAUGUUGGGUUAAGUCCCGUAACGAGCGCAACCCUUGUCCUUAGUUGCCAGCGGUUCGGCCGGGGACUCUAAGAAGACUGCCAGCGCAAGCUGAGAGGAAGGUGGGGAUGACGUCAAAUCAUCACGGCCCUUACGUCCUGGGCUACACACGUGCUACAAUGGUAGGGACAGAGAGUUGCCAACCCGCGAGGGUGAGCU
RNAcentral lists this ribosomal RNA (353 nucleotides) under uncultured bacterium. RNAcentral describes it as "bacterial SSU rRNA". It matches the Rfam family "Bacterial small subunit ribosomal RNA", at positions 917 to 1269 of the family's 1533-position model. The record is from RNAcentral.